AUAUUGGUGAGAGACCGAUAGCGAACAAGUACCGUGAGGGAAAGAUGAAAAGCACUUUGGAAAGAGAGUUAAACAGUACGUGAAAUUGUUGAAAGGGAAACGAUUGAAGUCAGUCAUGUCUGUUGGUUUCAGCUUGCCCUGCAAGUGUAUUACCUUCAGACGGGUCAACAUCAGUUUUGGUGCGGUGGAUAAGAGCGGAUUGAAGGUGGCACCCUCGGGUGUGUUAUAGCUUUCUGUUGCAUACACUGCCUGAGACUGAGGACUGCAGCUCGCCUUUAUGGCCGCCCCUCGGGGACGUUCGAGCUUAGGAUGUUGGCAUAAUGGCUUUAAACGACCCGUCUUGAAACACGGACC
Molecule: ribosomal RNA, 354 nt
Filed under: uncultured fungus
Lineage: Eukaryota; Fungi
Description: LSU rRNA
Rfam family: Eukaryotic large subunit ribosomal RNA
Source: RNAcentral